UUAUUCUUUCAUCCCCAUUGUCGUCUUCUUCCUCGAGCUCUCUCCUCUGUUUACAAUAUCAUCCACAUACUGGCGGACGGUGACUUCGCAUUAACAGACAUCGAGACCUCAUCGAGACCUCGAUCUCCACCGGAUUUCGCCUUUCUUCGAUUUCUAGGGUUCCAGGAACUUUGAGAUGAUACAUCGCUAACCAUUGAAUGGCUAAGAUGCAAGGGGUUAACAACAUAGAGCUCUUCUUCUAUCUCAACACCGUUGAAGGCUCUUAUUUUGCAUUCGAAGUAUUUCACUUGUGUUCUACACUUGUUUUGCAUUCAAAGCUGCUAGAGGGAUAAUCCCUAGUACUUCGGCCUAUCCGUUCUUUAAAAUGUAGUAGGGUUAGACGACUAUUCUUUAAGUUUUGUCGAUACGCAUAAUCUAGAAAUUCUUGAAUUCAGGUCAUACCCACAAAUCUAGGGUUCAUAAUUUAGGAACGACCUUCGAUUGCUUCUAUUUCCGACCAAAUCCAAGAAAUUGGGGUAUAUAUUUAAAGUAAUGAACGAAUUGGUUGUUGGUUUUUGUUUGUGCUCUAUAA
Molecule: long non-coding RNA, 571 nt
Organism: Cucurbita pepo subsp. pepo (vegetable marrow)
Lineage: Eukaryota; Viridiplantae; Streptophyta; Magnoliopsida; Cucurbitales; Cucurbitaceae
Source: RefSeq, a predicted model, not a curated record